CGCCACCAGGACGCACUUCCGGCUCUCGUCUGGGAACCAAAGUCGCAGGAGCGAGGGAAGCUUGCGGCGUCCCCUAGAGACGGGGCGGGGGCGGGGCCUGCGCUGUCACUCUUCGGGCCACGCCCCCUCACGUGUGCUGGGCGAGAAUGAGGGUGAGAGGGCUCUCUGCGCUGAAGACCCGGGAGGGUCCCGGCAGGCUUGAACCCAACCACAUCCGGGAGUCGGUUUCCUCCUCGUAACCUGGGUGCGAGCAGCGGCAGGGCUCGCCCUGGUGUCGGACUCCAGCCCAGUGUGGGGCCUGGGGGCUGCGAGUGGGAUGCGGCCCGGCUCUGAGCCGCGUCCCAGGUAGAAGGUGGAGGCAGCUGACUCGAUGCCCCUACAGCAGGCCCACCUUCCCCAGGGCGAAUAGUGAACAAGUAAACGUCCACUGAACGCCCUCUGCAGGCCCCACUCUGGGGCGGCACUCAGAAGAGAAAGGGAGUUGGGGCCGAGAUGGAUGGCCCCUUGCUGUGCCCACCUCGACCUGUGAGGCCAGGGGUUCAACUGUGUCCUUCACCUUGACAGGCAGCUGCUGCCCAAACUGUGACCCAAACAGGAGUGGAGGUGCCAACAGCUGCUUCACCCUGCCCUGCACCUGAUUCCAUAGGACUCUGGGGCAUUAGGUCAGAAUUCUGAAAAUGCCUCUUCCAACAUUCUAUGCCCAAAUGCCCAGACCUGUGAACAGUUACAGUACAUGGCAGACAUAAUAAAGGUUACUAAUCAGCCGACCUUAAA
Long non-coding RNA from Camelus dromedarius (Arabian camel), 774 nucleotides. RefSeq lists it as uncharacterized. NCBI's taxonomy places the organism in Eukaryota, Metazoa, Chordata, Mammalia, Artiodactyla, Camelidae. The record is from RefSeq and is a predicted model, not a curated record. The transcript has 2 exons.